Molecule: long non-coding RNA, 997 nt
Organism: Trifolium pratense (red clover)
Lineage: Eukaryota; Viridiplantae; Streptophyta; Magnoliopsida; Fabales; Fabaceae
Exons: 6
Source: RefSeq, a predicted model, not a curated record
GGAAGCAAAGAGCCCUAUUUCAUUAUCUAAUAGAUCAAAAUAGGCACCUUGAGUGAUAGAUAUUAUAGUUGAAAUCUUAGGUGCUGCAUAUAAAUGUAGGUUAACUGCAGUGUGUAGGACCGUGCCAAAAAUAGGAAGAUACAUGAAUGUUUGUAGAUCUGACUCAUUCAUUCAUUAGACUUCUAAAAUAUAUGUUAGUUUCAAGAUUUGGAGUGCAGAGUGGUAGAAAAGAGUCCUUUCAUCGGAGGUAUUUCUAUUUGAGAAGAUUGAUGAAAGCGUGGCUUUUUAUGGUACUUUUGUUUGAUGAUGAUGUUUGAAUCCGAAAUCCAAAUGGAGUUCCUCAACAAAUCUAAGUAGCUAGCUAGGUGGAGUUGAUACAUGCAUUUCUUGGCUAUACCAUGAAACAGGAAUUCAAUCAACCACGGUACCUACCUCCCUCUGGUGAUGGUGACAUCAUUGAGCAAGUUGUGAUGAUGAAUGAUGAUGGUGGGAUUAUUGAAUUGUCCUCUAACUUGCGUGAAGCCAAGUGAUUCGGAAAAUGCGAGAACAGAAGAUGCACAUCUAAAUGCUUCUAUUUCAACUGAAUCCCUUCCAAACAUGCCGUAGUAAUAGUAUGUGCGGGGUUUUGGCUAGUAUCCUUGAAGUCAUUACAUGAUGCUAUAGUAGUACAGACAGCUAUCAAAUUUGGUGAUAACAAGAUUUCCAAAGUGAUGUAAAGUAUGGGCUUGUGGUUCCUAAAAGACAAUUUGUUGAUGAAAAUGCACAAGUUGGUGUAGUGGUGUAUAGUUGGUGGCAUACAUAGUUUAGACAACAGACUGGCAGGACAAUUAAGUUAUAUAAUUACUUCAGUUUAUUAAAAAAACAACAUAUUUUCUCAGGUAGUAUCUGGUGCAAAGAAUGCACCUCACUUUGAGUUCAAAUCUGAACUUGACCUUUUACACACAUACAACAAAAUAUGAUAAUUUUUUUAUGAUUUUAUGAAAAUGUAUUCAUUGAA